GACGAACGCUGGCGGCGUGCUUAACACAUGCAAGUCGAGCGGUAAGGCCCUUUCGGGGGUACGACGAGCGGCGAACGGGUGAGUAACACGUGGGUGACCUGCCCUCAGCUCUGGGAGUAAGCCUGGGAAACCGGGUCUAAUACUGGAUAUGACUCCAUGACGCAUGUUGUGGGGUGGAAAGCCUUGUGCGGCUGAGGAUGGGCCCGCGGCCUAUCAGCUUGUUGGUGGGGUGAGGCCUACCAAGGCGACGACGGGUAGCCGGCCUGAGAGGGCGACCGGCCACACUGGGACUGAGACACGGCCCAGACUCCUACGGGAGGCAGCAGUGGGGAAUCUUGCGCAAUGGGCGAAAGCCUGACGCAGCGACGCCGCGUGAGGGA
Molecule: ribosomal RNA, 380 nt
Filed under: uncultured bacterium
Lineage: Bacteria
Description: bacterial SSU rRNA
Rfam family: Bacterial small subunit ribosomal RNA
Source: RNAcentral